AAAUUGAAGAGUUUGAUCAUGGCUCAGAUUGAACGCUGGCGGCAGGCCUAACACAUGCAAGUCGAACGGUAACAGGAAGCAGCUUGCUGCUUCGCUGACGAGUGGCGGACGGGUGAGUAAUGUCUGGGAAACUGCCUGAUGGAGGGGGAUAACUACUGGAAACGGUAGCUAAUACCGCAUAACGUCGCAAGACCAAAGAGGGGGACCUUCGGGCCUCUUGCCAUCGGAUGUGCCCAGAUGGGAUUAGCUAGUAGGUGGGGUAACGGCUCACCUAGGCGACGAUCCCUAGCUGGUCUGAGAGGAUGACCAGCCACACUGGAACUGAGACACGGUCCAGACUCCUACGGGAGGCAGCAGUGGGGAAUAUUGCACAAUGGGCGCAAGCCUGAUGCAGCCAUGCCGCGUGUAUGAAGAAGGCCUUCGGGUUGUAAAGUACUUUCAGCGGGGAGGAAGGCGAUAAGGUUAAUAACCUUG
RNAcentral lists this ribosomal RNA (474 nucleotides) under Enterobacter hormaechei. Its description in RNAcentral is "bacterial SSU rRNA". It matches the Rfam family "Bacterial small subunit ribosomal RNA", at positions 1 to 471 of the family's 1533-position model. RNAcentral also lists the same sequence under 1 other name. The record is from RNAcentral. Lineage: Bacteria; Pseudomonadati; Pseudomonadota; Gammaproteobacteria; Enterobacterales; Enterobacteriaceae.